RNAcentral lists this ribosomal RNA (172 nucleotides) under uncultured bacterium. Its description in RNAcentral is "partial 16S ribosomal RNA". It matches the Rfam family "Bacterial small subunit ribosomal RNA", at positions 8 to 158 of the family's 1533-position model. The record is from RNAcentral.
AGAGUUUGAUCAUGGCUCAAGAUGAACGCUGGCGGCGUGCCUAACACAUGCAAGUCGAACGAGAAGCUAACUUCUGAUUCCUUCGGGAUGAUGAGGUUAGCACGAAAGUGGCGAACGGGUGAGUAACGCGUGGGUAAUCUACCCUGUAAGUGGGGGAUAACCCUCCGAAAGG